Non-coding RNA from Pelobates cultripes (western spadefoot toad), 353 nucleotides. The record is from the annotation of a GenBank genome assembly. NCBI's taxonomy places the organism in Eukaryota, Metazoa, Chordata, Amphibia, Anura, Pelobatidae.
CUGGGACACGCUGGUCAGUAUGUAUGGGGUUUGACUUAUGUGGCUAAUGUGCUUUUACUCAAACAAGUAAUUGUUGGUUUGCUGUUGUGGUGAGCAUAUAACUCGGCAUCAAAUGUUUAAUAUGUAAUGGUUUUUAAUUCAUCUGGGUUUACUUGAACAAUAUUGGAAUUUGUGUUCCUUUCUUUGUAUUGGAAGAUUGUAAACAGAACACACUUUCCACAUAACGUAAUUAGUAUCUUAUUUUUUUAUUGUGAUCAGAAGCUAUGGGAAUAUGAGCGGUCUCUUAGCAGAGAGUAUUAUUUUACUGUUUAAUUAGACUGGAAGGGUGUCUUGAAUAUGGGAGCAGAUCUUAU